This 440-nucleotide ribosomal RNA is filed under the name uncultured bacterium. RNAcentral describes it as "partial 16S ribosomal RNA". It matches the Rfam family "Bacterial small subunit ribosomal RNA", at positions 338 to 795 of the family's 1533-position model. The record is from RNAcentral.
CCUACGGGAGGCAGCAGUGGGGGAUAUUGCACAAUGGGGGGAACUCUGAUGCAGCGACGCCGCGUGAGCGAUGGAGUACUUCGGUAUGUAAAGCUCUGUCAGCAGGGAAGAAAAUGACGGUACCUGACCAAGAAGCUCCGGCUAAAUACGUGCCAGCAGCCGCGGUAAUACGUAUGGGGCAAGCGUUAUCCGGAUUUACUGGGUGGAAAGGGAGCGUAGGUGGCAGGGCAAGUCUGAGGUGAAAGCCCGGGGCUCAACCCCGGGAAUGCAUUAGAAACUGCUCUGCUGGAGUGCAGGAGGGGCAAGCGGAAUUCUUGGUGUAGCGGUGAAAUGCGUAGAUAUUAGGAGGAACACCAGUGGCGAAGGCGGCUUGCUGGACGGUAACUGACGCUGAGGCUCGAAAGCGUGGGGAGCAAACAGGAUUAGAUACCCUUGUAGUC